This 805-nucleotide ribosomal RNA is filed under the name bacterium PHA-3-4. RNAcentral describes it as "bacterial SSU rRNA". It matches the Rfam family "Bacterial small subunit ribosomal RNA", at positions 47 to 855 of the family's 1533-position model. The record is from RNAcentral.
CCUAACACAUGCAAGCUGAGCGGUAGAGAUCUUUCGGGAUCUUGAGAGCGGCGUACGGGUGCGGAACACGUGUGCAACCUGCCUUUAUCAGGGGGAUAGCCUUUCGAAAGGAAGAUUAAUACUCCAUAAUAUAAUUUACGGCAUCGUGGAUUAUUGAAAACUCCGGUGGAUAGAGAUGGGCACGCGCAAGAUUAGAUAGUUGGUGAGGUAACGGCUCACCAAGUCGAUGAUCUUUAGGGGGCCUGAGAGGGUGAUCCCCCACACUGGUACUGAGACACGGACCAGACUCCUACGGGAGGCAGCAGUGAGGAAUAUUGGACAAUGGGUUAGCGCCUGAUCCAGCCAUCCCGCGUGAAGGACGACGGCCCUAUGGGUUGUAAACUUCUUUUGUACAGGGAUAAACCUAUCUACGUGUAGAUAGCUGAAGGUACUGUACGAAUAAGCACCGGCUAACUCCGUGCCAGCAGCCGCGGUAAUACGGAGGGUGCAAGCGUUAUCCGGAUUUAUUGGGUUUAAAGGGUCCGUAGGCGGAUGCGUAAGUCAGUGGUGAAAUCUCACAGCUCAACUGUGAAACUGCCAUUGAUACUGCGUGUCUUGAGUAAGGUAGAAGUGGCUGGAAUAAGUAGUGUAGCGGUGAAAUGCAUAGAUAUUACUUAGAACACCAAUUGCGAAGGCAGGUCACUAUGUCUUAACUGACGCUGAUGGACGAAAGCGUGGGGAGCGAACAGGAUUAGAUACCCUGGUAGUCCACGCCGUAAACGAUGCUAACUCGUUUUUGGGGCUUCGGCUUCAGAGACUAAGCGAA